UGAAAUCAAGAUGAACAGACGGCACAUGUACAUCCAGUGCAGAGCUCAUCUCAGAGAGACUCCAAACCACCUGAGGCCUCUUCUGCAGUUUGUACACUGCCACCUGCUGGCUGGCUUCUCAAACCACAGCGAGCUGACUUUCUUCCUGCAACAGCCACGAACACACAAGGGAAGUACUCAGGCCAAGAUCAUAUUAGAUCUGCAUGGAAUCAACAGAUGAACAUCAUGCCAUCUUUUAUCAUCACAGAAGAUCACUGUCAAAAUCAACUUCUGAUUGCAGUGAAGGACACAGCUGUUUCCAUGUGGUGAAGCCCUAUAAAGUUGGACACUACAUCAUCCACCCUGAGUUUGUGUCAGAAGCAAUGCACUAUUAAAAACCAGUGUUUAGGCAAUUGUUUUAUUUAUUUAUUUUUAGGCAGUUGUCUAAUGUUAUUUAAAAUGUAUUAAGGUAUGUUGUGUGGCGUG
Molecule: long non-coding RNA, 465 nt
Organism: Myxocyprinus asiaticus (Chinese sucker)
Lineage: Eukaryota; Metazoa; Chordata; Actinopteri; Cypriniformes; Catostomidae
Exons: 3
Source: RefSeq, a predicted model, not a curated record